UCCUGAACUCUCUCUUCACGGCGAUUCUUUUUGUGGGGGUUAUAGGAGAGAGCCGCUCCAAAAUAGACACCCAAACACGCACCACGGCUCUGAAACGAAGUAACAAUUUGCUACCAGCUGAGAACAAGUGGUGGAGGCGUUAACUGAAGCACAGCAGAAAAUAAUGGUUGAAAGGAAGUGCCGGUUUGGCUCAACGCAGUUGUACAUGGCUGUGUGGUUUUUGCCGUAGCCACUGUGAGGCCAGCAGAAAACGAAAAAACAAAACAUCAGAGGAGCAAGAGAGAGAGAGCAGCAAGACAGCACCGCACCCUGGCGCACCUGUUCUGUUGGAGUCGACUCAUCUCCUGGCCGGCCUGACAUCCCACCGUGGACCGCUAACCACAGAAGUGGCAGCAAGAUUGACGUUGGAAGGUGGCACCGAAGUGUGUCACCAAUCUCCCUCUGUGUUCAAUGGAACAUAUUGAACAUGAUUACUACUAAAUCGCUUGUCCUUAACUGUAUAUCAUCUUUAUGCACUACAAUAUGUUUCAAGACUUUUUACUGUUGGCAAAUACUACCAUCUAAUCAUGUGUGUUGCACAGGAGAACUGUAUUUAUUCACCCUAUAACGACGGUAGACUCUAGUUAUUUUGUGCGGAGUAAGGAUUGAAGAUCAAUGUCAAACUGUCCAAAAAUAAAACCAUUUCCUCUCUUAA
Molecule: non-coding RNA, 694 nt
Organism: Pelodiscus sinensis (Chinese soft-shelled turtle)
Lineage: Eukaryota; Metazoa; Chordata; Testudines; Trionychidae
Source: RefSeq, a predicted model, not a curated record